Molecule: ribosomal RNA, 405 nt
Filed under: Triticum aestivum (bread wheat)
Lineage: Eukaryota; Viridiplantae; Streptophyta; Magnoliopsida; Poales; Poaceae
Description: partial small subunit ribosomal RNA
Source: RNAcentral
AUGCAGCCUGGGCGUCGUGGUCCACCGCUCGCCGCCGCUGGACGGCUGGAGGUCGUCGGCACCCAAGUACCGCCCAUGCUCUGGCGCUUGCACGCCGCCGGCCCUGCCCCAUCCCACCCUCCGCCACCACCUCCCCCACCCCGAGCCUUCCAGUUUGAGCUCCGCCUCGACCUCAUCCCUGCUGACGUCAUCUUCCCUGAACCAAGGAAGCCCUCAUCUGAUACGCUCUCGUCCGCGACGUGCUUCUCCAACCAUUGGUACGCGACGGUGGUUCGGUCCGGGAGGUGGCUCUUGCAAUCCUGGCGUCGCCGUAGCGGUGGUUCCAUUCCGGCGGCAUCAGGGGAGCACACAACGUCCAUGAGCAGCAAGCAGAGCCGGCCAAUGAUGCAGCAGCGCUGGCCAUGA